UGGGGAAUAUUGGACAAUGGGCGCAAGCCUGAUCCAGCCAUGCCGCGUGUGUGAUGAAGGCCUUAGGGUUGUAAAGCACUUUCGCCGAUGAAGAUAAUGACUGUAGUCGGAGAAGAAGCCCCGGCUAACUUCGUGCCAGCAGCCGCGGUAAUACGAAGGGGGCAAGCGUUGUUCGGAUUUACUGGGCGUAAAGCGUACGUAGGCGGAUGAUUAAGUCAGGGGUGAAAUCCCGGGGCUCAACCUCGGAACUGCCUUUGAUACUGGUCGUCUUGAGUCCGGGAGAGGUGAGUGGAACUCCUAGUGUAGAGGUGAAAUUCGUAGAUAUUAGGAAGAACACCAGUGGCGAAGGCGGCUCACUGGCCCGGAACUGACGCUGAGGUACGAAAGCGUGGGGAGCAAACAGGAUUAGAUACCCUGGUAGUCCACGCCGUAAACGAUGGAUGCUAGCCGUCGGGGAGCUUGCUCUUCGGUGGCGCAGCUAACGCAUUAAGCAUCCCGCCUGGGGAGUACGGUCGCAAGAUUAAAACUUAAA
RNAcentral lists this ribosomal RNA (532 nucleotides) under uncultured bacterium. RNAcentral's name for it is "partial 16S ribosomal RNA". It matches the Rfam family "Bacterial small subunit ribosomal RNA", at positions 355 to 905 of the family's 1533-position model. The record is from RNAcentral.